AGACGCACUCGUGUCAGCCGCCGCGGUAAUACGUAGGGUGCGAGCGUUGUCCGGAAUUAUUGGGCGUAAAGGGCUCGUAGGCGGUUUGUCACGUCGGGAGUGAAAACUCAGGGCUCAACCCUGAGCCUGCUUCCGAUACGGGCAGACUAGAGGUAUGCAGGGGAGAACGGAAUUCCUGGUGUAGCGGUGAAAUGCGCAGAUAUCAGGAGGAACACCGGUGGCGAAGGCGGUUCUCUGGGCAUUACCUGACGCUGAGGAGCGAAAGUGUGGGGAGCGAACAGGAUUAGAUACCCUGGUAGUCCACACCGUAAACGUUGGGCGCUAGGUGUGGGACUCAUUCCACGAGUUCCGUGCCGCAGCUAACGCAUUAAGCGCCCCGCCUGGGGAGUACGGCCGCAAGGCUAAAACUUAAAGGAAUUGACGGG
Molecule: ribosomal RNA, 425 nt
Filed under: uncultured bacterium
Lineage: Bacteria
Description: bacterial SSU rRNA
Rfam family: Bacterial small subunit ribosomal RNA
Source: RNAcentral